This 118-nucleotide ribosomal RNA is filed under the name Danio rerio (zebrafish). Lineage: Eukaryota; Metazoa; Chordata; Actinopteri; Cypriniformes; Danionidae. The record is from RNAcentral.
UUGGGCGGCAUCUAGCUCUCUGCAACACUCACAUGGUUGCCCACUGAAGCGAAGCAGAGCUGAGGCUGGUCAGUACCUGGAUGGGGGACCAUAUGGGAAAGCUAGGUUGCUGCCAGAA